GACAUAGUGGCGCGUCUCUGCUUUAAUUGCUGUUUUUUUGUAUAAAUGUCAACCAAAGAAGACAACUGGCAUCAAAUCGUGACAACCGCGGACGAAGACAACUUCAUUAGUCAACAUGAAAGUUUUUAUCUGUAUCCUGGCUCUAGCCGCAAUCGCCUUUGCCGGCGAGCAGCCAAGAGAGAAACGCGGGAUCUACGGCGAGCCCGGUGGUCUCCUCUCCCCCGCCCCCGCACUGCACGCCGCACCCCUCGCCCAAGCGCACACCUUGCCAGCCAGUCUGCUUGCCCCACAUUCUAUCCACCAACACCUGCACCCAGCACCAGUUCUAAGCCCCAGUGUCCACGCUCCAGUCCUCAGCUCAAGCCUGCACCACGCCCCACUAUUGAGCAGUUCAAGCCUUCACGCCGCUCCUUUGUUGAGCUCUAGUUUUCAUUCUGCCCCGUUAUUGAGCUCAAAUCUUCAUCAAGCGCCCUUAAUCUCAAGCUAUACGCCUGCUGUGAGCUCAAUCCACGCUCCAUUACUCAGUUCCAGCUUUUCUCACGCCCCAGUAUUGAGCUCAAGCCUCAGCCAUGCUCCUCUUCUAAGCUCCGGUUUACACCACGCCCCCGUACUAAGCUCUGGCCUCUACCACGCCCCUGUCCUGAGCUCCGUACACCAUCUCGCACCCCUAACCCAUUCCCAUGUGCAUGUGGCCCCCGUGGUGCGCGCUCCCCUGGUUCGUUACUCUGCGCCGAGGUACGCCUCCGGUUGGUAAAUCUGUGAUCCCCCUAAUUAGACCAAAUAUAUGUACCUUAGUGAAAUUGUUA
Molecule: long non-coding RNA, 806 nt
Organism: Plodia interpunctella (Indianmeal moth)
Lineage: Eukaryota; Metazoa; Arthropoda; Insecta; Lepidoptera; Pyralidae
Exons: 2
Source: RefSeq, a predicted model, not a curated record